AGCUGGCCAAGGUGGGGUUCACUUAAUGAGGAAAAGAUAAUUGUUUCUAUGGUCUGUUUUAAGCAAAGCAGGUCGAGAAAUUGAAGAAGACGAAAGAGAAGUCUUCACCCAAAGGCUCGAGGAAUGCACCCGAGGAAAAACCAGGAGCGCCUUUAGCCUUGGGCCAAAGUGGUUUGAGGCAAGGAUAAGAGAAAGGCAAACUUGGAGCCCAAAGUAAAUUGGAGCAAAAGGAGGAAAAAAAAGAACUGUAGAGGCAUUCAGAGUUAAAGGAGCCAAAACCCUGGACCAGAUUUUCCUGCAGCCCAGAAUCCGAAGGAGCCCCAAGAUCCUGGAUCCGGAUAAGUGUUGUUUCUCAUCAUUUUCAUUGGCUAGAAAUGUUUCUGUAGCAGACAUAAAACUGGCCAUUUUGUUUCCCCUGAGAAUUGUAUUUCCCCUGAGCAAAGUAGAGAACCUAGAAAGGACAGAGCUAUAUUUUACCAGGUUAAGAGGUUUGAAAGUAACAUCUGUUCAUUGGAGAAUUUGCAACAGAGAUGCCAGAGUGCUAGUUUGUCUCAAAGUACUAUCAGAAGAAGUUAGGAGGAAUGACGGAGCCCAGAAAUGAUUGUUAGUAAUAGAAGAUAAAUUUAUUUUCAAUCUGGGGCCUGGUUAGAGAAUUGCCAUCUAAUAGUAAAUUGUAUGGGAAGGUAAUUGGGAAAAAGAAAAGCUAUGGAGGAAAUUGGUUAGUGAUACAGUCACAAGGGCGAAUGGAAAGGCAGAUAAACAUUUUUAGCCAUUAUGAAUGAG
Molecule: long non-coding RNA, 783 nt
Filed under: Monodelphis domestica (gray short-tailed opossum)
Lineage: Eukaryota; Metazoa; Chordata; Mammalia; Didelphimorphia; Didelphidae
Description: lncRNA (ENSMODG00000045507.1)
Source: RNAcentral